RNAcentral lists this transfer RNA (85 nucleotides) under Candidatus Methanolliviera hydrocarbonicum. RNAcentral's name for it is "tRNA-Leu". It matches the Rfam family "tRNA". From Rfam's summary of the family: Transfer RNA (tRNA) molecules are approximately 80 nucleotides in length. The record is from RNAcentral. Lineage: Archaea; Methanobacteriati; Methanobacteriota; Candidatus Methanoliparia; Candidatus Methanoliparales; Candidatus Methanollivieraceae.
GCGGGGGUUACCGAGCCAGGCCAAAGGUGAUGGACUCAAGAUCCAUUCCCAUAGGGGUUCGCCGGUUCGAAUCCGGCCCCCCGCA